RNAcentral lists this long non-coding RNA (1366 nucleotides) under Zea mays. RNAcentral's name for it is "long non-coding RNA (ZMAY_LNC003668)". Lineage: Eukaryota; Viridiplantae; Streptophyta; Magnoliopsida; Poales; Poaceae. The record is from RNAcentral.
UUAUUGGGUAAAUAAAAGUGGUCAAGGGCACAACUUUCCUUCAAUGAGCUCUUGUUCAGCAACUUCUACCUACUGAACACCUGGAUCCUCGGUCACUGGUUCAUCUACUCGAAGCAAUACAAACAGACAUGAUAUAGGAGAAAUUAACAUUACACCAAACAUGAGUACAAACUACAUGAUAAUAAUGUACUCAUCGCAACGAGAUCGUAGGUUCGAGAAUCACUAAAUUCAGAGUUAUGAAUUACAAGUUAUGAUUUUCUGAAGUUUUAUGUGUUUGGUACAAAAAUAGCCAAGUGAUUAAUUUUAAGAUAAGUUUCAUGCUAAAAUAGAGUUACCGUGUGAUAAAUAAUAUUAAAGAAAAAUUAUUGCAACUGGAAUGGAUUAAAAGGAGCUAAAAUGAAUUUUCUAGUAAUUAAACAAGAUCUAGAAUUAUUUUUAUACUAGAAAAGUAUUUUCUAUAUUAAUUUAUCCAAUUUCCUAUGUCUCUGGACUGUGCUCAUAAUUCGGAGUUGCUUGGGGUUAAAUUUGCAAAGUCUUGGGCCUCUCUGUAAGGAUCUUACUACUGUCCUGGACCGCGGGUUGAUAAGCAAGAAACCUAGGGUCUUUUAUGUAAAGACUCUCGGCCGAAGGGGUAUUAUCUAUUACCAUCUGUAGGAUCUAAAUCUUGCGGCUCGGAUUAAAUUAUUCCAGCGCUUAAGGCUGCUUCACUCGGAGCCGUUGGAUCCCUGAUCCAAGGCCAUGCACUCGCCACACACCUGUUCUGAUCCGCCUGUUAACGAUCAACGACCCCGACUAUUAAGUGAUCACGAUUGAUCCACAAGCGUAGGAUCAGAAUCGGACAGACCAGAUUACCCAGACGAAACUCUACCCUAGUAUCUAAUCUGCGCCGUCCACUCACCAAUCCAUGGUCAGGAGACCAUCGUCUUCCGCCCGGCGCGCCAAGCGGCGGGCGCAAUCCAUUGACACGGUGGUUUCACGCUGGCGCGAGGUGCAUUGGGCGCGCACGAGUCUAAUCAUCGAAUGUGAGCGCAGCAUCACAUAGCAGGGAUGAAGGCAAAUCUUGCGGAGAGGGGCUCACCGGCAGAGGUGUCGCGUGGAGGUCGGACCGUGGUGGGGAGCUUCACGGCGCGAACUCCUGGCUCUGGUGAGCAAUUCCCGCCGCGCUAUGGCCUCGGAGGCACCAAUCCUGCCCCCGCUUGGAUCCACACACCCGGCCAAAAGUGCCAGAGCACCCGCCAGAGGACGUACGGUGGAGGAAAUUCCCCCCGGCGUGCACCCCGCAACUUCCCCCUCUCUUCCAAUGGCGAGCGCGGAGUGGAGCAUUCAGGCAAUGGCACAAGGCUUGGCAUUCCUGAGCGCGACCGAG